ACACACACACACACACACACACAGAGAGAGAGAGAGAGAGAGAGAGAGAGAGAGAGAGAGAGAGAUGUUCUGGUAUGGAGAUGCAGGGCUUGGAAAGAAUUGCUGUGUGUGUGUGUGUGUGUGUGU
Molecule: non-coding RNA, 126 nt
Organism: Podarcis lilfordi (Lilford's wall lizard)
Lineage: Eukaryota; Metazoa; Chordata; Lepidosauria; Squamata; Lacertidae
Source: the annotation of a GenBank genome assembly